AGGCGGUGGACAAUCACUCAAUUAAGUUAUUGUGAUUGGCUAGGAACAACGAGUUCCUUAUGUAUUUCCUGAUAAUUCCAUUUAUACCUUGGACAUCUAAUUUCAUCCCAUGGUGAAAUUAAUACAUUGUUUAAUACCUACUAUUUGUGUUCUGUUUCUAUCAAUGGCUGAGGGUUUCUACCCUUAUUAUAUUAUGCCACGCAUAAUUUGGAAACUUAAUUGCCAUGUUUCUUUGAUUCUGUUAAUAGGAUGUGGGAUGUCUAUCAAACCUUUUGGACUUUGCUUUGAAGUUUUCGUUGAGUUUCUCAUCAAGGCCUCCACAAAUGUUUGUGCCACACCAGAAGAUAUUGUUAUCCGUAAUGCAUGGGCUUCAUUGGAUGCAGUAUUUUCUGUAGAACACGUGGAUUUUCUGGUAUUGCUCAUGAUGUGUGCACUGAACUUGACAAUAAGUUUGAUGAUAGCUUUAUGGACUGUGUGGACUUAACUAUGGAUUCUGCUAUUAUUGGUGAGGAUGAUCCAACACAGUGAUUGGCUUGCAGAAUCAGACAAAAAGAAUGCUGCAGAGACAAAGGCAGCCCUGGUGGAGGCAAAACAAGGUAUUAAUGAUUCUCAAGAAGCCUGGAAUAUACUGAAUCAACAAGAAAUGCAUGAGGAUCUAUGGGUGCUGCAAGAAGGAAUUUUGAACGGGCAAACCCAAUAGAGAUACAUGGAGAAGUCGUGAGAAUAAACCCUAGCGAUGUCCUUUCAUCUCUAAAUAGAGAGUGCUUGAGAGAAAAGUUUUAUCCCUUACACCAUUAUGAGCUAGUGAGUGGGAAGUAGAAGACAUCGGGGAAUCAAGGUGUGGUGGAGGCUGCAUCAAGGAAGAGAAGGCUUCUUGGGCAGGUUUAGGACAUUACAGAAUGCUAGGAAUUUUCCAUUGGAAUCCAGGCCGACUUAGGUGUAAAGACAAGGACUCAACUUAUGGCUGAGAAGUUUGUUUUUAAAAUCCUUUUGAUGACUGUCAUUGCUGCCAAUAUUGAGAGAUAUCUCACAGAUCCCACAGGAGGUGAUUUAAUUUAUUCUUAAACGACAUUGAAUAAAUAGAGUUUUGGUCAUUCACCAUCUAGGACUACUAUUUUUUUUUUUUAAUUUUUGCAGAAGCUCAAACUUGAAAUGUCUGCCUAGAACUUAAUUACAGAGGAAAUUAAAAUUAUGUUUCAGUAUCAAAGAUCAAAGUUUUGUAAUUUGUUUCAUUGUUCCUUGGAGUUGGUUUUUUCCAACAUGCUUUUGGAAUUAUUUUUCAGUUUUCAUGCAUAAUUUUUAAUACCCAUUUCGAUUUCUUGCAUACUUUAAGUAUCUUUUACCAAUUCAAUACCAUUAGAUUCAUUCCAUAUUUGCAUAUAGUCUGUUUGCAUCAGAUUUCACUCAAUGAAGUGCAUAAAAAAUCUGAUAUCAUAGUUAAAUCCAUAAUGCUGUCAUUGAUAGAUUUAGAAGUGAUUCAUGAUUUUGUGCAUAGCAUCCAUGUUUGGCAUACAAUCUUCAUAUAUUCUAGCAUUGUUUGGUACUCGUUCAAUUUGAUCAUUCCAUCUGCAGUUUAUCUCCAUUCAUAGUAUUCUUUUUCUUGUUUUGUUUUUUUAUUUUUCAUUCUGCAUACGACAGCAUUGUGGAUAGAAUUUAGGUUGAAUCUUCAUAUCUGCAUCAGGUUUUGUAAAACUGUAAAAAUUCAGGCUUCAGCGGUAGGUAUUUGGCCAUGCAUACAUUCAUUAUUUUUACUUGUAUUAUUCAUUCAUAAAUAUCACUUUAAACUUGUUCCCAUCACUGAAUGUAUAUUUUCUACAUUAGCCUGUGAUUAGACUGUCUACAUAGGUUCUAGAGGUUCAAUCAUUUAGGGUCUCAAUAUUGAGAUCUUGCAAGCUAACAGUGAUUGGAUUUGCCUGAUUUCAGCAAUUAUUAUGAGCUCUUAGAGCAUUUAAGUUGCUUAAGUCAGUUUUGAGUAGGUAUGGCUCACAUCACACUUUAAUAGAGAUUCUUUUUUCUCUAGCGUGUUUACAAGUUUCUGAAACUCUACCCAAUUAAGCUGUCCCAACUCAUGGGCUCUCUAUUGCUAAAACUAGUUAAGUGCAGCUGCGAGUUGUUGUAGUUACUUUCAGUACGUGUCACAGUGAUUAAAAAACUAGAAAUCAUCCCAUUAUCCCCAUGGGUCUGCGCUCUGAUCUAGAAUCCAUUAUUGAUUACUGAGUUAUUCUUUAUGCAUUCUAGUGUAUAAUUUUUAAAUGUCAUCCAUUAAUUAAUAGUUUUCAUAAUAUACUGCAGAUGAAUGAAAAAACUUUCUUGCUAGAAUUGGCCGUGAUGAAAAUUCCCUUGAGAGUGAACUUUAUGAUAAUCCUAGUGAUAUUCUUGAAUUGCGAUUUUGGGCUUCAUAUAGGGGGCAAACAUUGGCCACAACGUGUUUUACUAAUCAACUUGAUUUUUCCUUUGUGUUUUAUUGUUUUACUAGUCCAAACAUGAUUAUUUGGGAUGAAAGAUUGUAUUAUAUAUAAAUUAUUUUAAAUAUUGGAUCAAUUACUAUCUUGUGAAUUAUAAUAAGUUAAUUUUUGUGAUUUGGAUGAUUAGAAGUGUAAGUAAGUUGUUGUAAUGCUAACUUCAGUUUUUCAGAUGGUUGAAUUAUGGUUCUUUUUGAAUUUGGGUAUUUCAACGCGUUUCAUGGUUGUAAGACCUGUUGUAGUGGUUAGUUGCUGUAAGUAACCAAAGUUAGUGGUUUACUGAUUUUACACUAGUACUUUUCGGUCAAACGGUGUUGACUACAAUCUGUGUAUUUGAUGUAAGGUUUGCGACCAACUGCGUUCAUUACCAUUGGUUCCAAUUCAAGAGAGUAAUACUGUGAUAAAAUUCUGCAGUUUUAAUAAUUGUUGAAAGUUAUUUUCUUUAGUACUCUAGUUGUUGCNAUAAAUUAAUUAGAAGUGCUAUGAACCUGAUUUAAUUGUAUUUAGUGGUGCUGGAAAUUUAGAGUAUUGUGUUGAGUUUGAAACAUCUGAAACUUAUUAUGUCCACUUAAUUAUGAUAAAGAUUACUGAAUUAAGUAAUUUUGUAUUCUGAUUGUUCUGGUGCUUGAUAAAAUAUAAUAGGAUAUUAGUUUGGAAUGUAUCGGGUGAUAUUGAUGAAUGAAUGACUGCAACUAGACUUUGGCCUUGUUAAUUUGUUGCCAUCUUAUGUAAAGAAAAAAAAUCUGAUGUUAAUGAGUAACCUGGAUUUUAGAAUGACUCUAAUGGUAUAUGAAAUAUUUAUAUAUAAUGCAGUUUUUGGAUCUGUUUAUUGAUAUUUAUGGUUGUUUGGAAUGAAAAUAUAUUAUGGAAAAACAUACUCUAAAUUGUUUUAUUGAAAAUCUACCUUUUGAUAGAAUCCUAUGAAGUUUAGUAAUCCCUGUAAUCACCAUGGUAGCAUUGAUUAUUCUCUGGUUACGUAGAUAUAUGUAUGUGAUGGAUGUAUAUAAAGUUAAUAAAAUUGUAAAACUUGUUAUUCUUAUCCGGUUAUUUUCUGGGUUGUCUCCUGGAAUGAACCUUAGGUAGGUGUGGAGUUGAUAAAUAUUAUGUUAAAAGCUGUUAAAGAUCAGUGAUGAUCGAAGUGUAUCAUUUGCAUAAUGAAUGUGGUCUGGCUUGUGAGGUUUCUAGUGCAAGUUAUGUUACGUUAUAUAAAGUGUUAGGAUGAUUGGAAAUGUUUAGAGAAUUUGUUACAUUAUUGUCAUGAGUGAUAACUAGAAAUGACUGGGAAUGGUUGCAGGAAGACACUCUAGAAACGUUAUCAUGUCUGAAAAUGUGUUUCUAAAUGGAAAAAAGAGGAGAUUGGACUAUGGUGCUGCUGUAAGUAUGCCUAUAAAUGGCAAAAGAAAAAUUCAUUCUUUUAUAUUUCACUGCUAAUUAAUGAGAUAUGUUUACACACGAAACAUGCUUAUGUGACCCAAGAAGAGGCAAUGCUGGGAACUCUGACAGUGAGAGAGACAAUAUAUUACUCAACAAAUCUAAGGCUUCCAGGGCAUUAGGAGAGAAGAGGUGAAUUAGAUUACACACACUAAUUCUCACUAACAACAAAAUUGUAAACUUGGUAGAAACUGACCCUUUAUCAGGAAGAAAGCAAAUUAUAGGCUUUAUGAUAUUAACAAACUGAAAUCCCUCCGAGUUUUAGAUUUCAAGAAAGUAAAAAAUAAGGUAAUGUAUUUUUUACACUACCCAUACUAUUUUUAUUUUUAUCGGGCUUGUUAUUUGAAAUACCAAAGAUAGGAUGUUCUAGUAAUGUCUGCAAGGUUUUAGAUAAUUUUUCCACAACCCAUACUAAUUUUUAUCGGGCUUGUAUUUGAAACAGUAAAAGUCCUAAGCAAAUAGACACACUCUAAUAAAUGCUAAUCUUGGUUACCCGUGGUUUGACGUGUUGUUGGUUUAUGUAGCUGCCAUUGUGAAUUCUCAGACUCUUGAGGAGGUUGCUAGACUUGAAAAGGCAUUGAAGUCUAGCCAGCUUUCUGCAGAUAUAGAAGGCUUGAAUGAUAAUAUAGUGUUGGAUAACGUUACUGAAAAACCUGAAGAUAUGAUUCAUGAUGAUAGAGGUCCAGCUGAUGUUGAAUCCAAUGGUACACAAGAGCAGACAAAUACUGAUUCUACUUCAAUGGAACAGGCGAGGAUGUCAAGGCUGUUCAAGGAACCUGGAACACACAGAAUCAACAACAACUAAAUGGGGAGUCUUGGAUGCUGCAGCAAGGUGCUUGGAGAGUGCAGAACCAGCUGCUAGCCUUCAAAGCAGCCAUGGAUACACUGCUGAAGAGAGUGGCUAAGCACAAUAGACUAAAACCAAUAAGCCAAUUCUCUUCCUUUUUCUCCAAUUAUAGUUAUAGGUUUUUUCUGAUAGUUAGAGUAGUCCUAGUAAGUAUAGUAAAUAGUAGAGUACAACAUAUGAUGUUUUAUAUAAAAAUAAAAAGAAUCAAUUUUGAUCUAUAGCCAAUUUGAACAAGUUUUCUUUUUCUUUUUAGCUCUGUAGUUUUAGCUUUAGGUCUUGCUUCUGUUAACAAUGCAUACCUAGGCAGAGCAUGGAGAAAAACAGAUAAGCUCAUUCUUUUCAUUUCCUUUUAGUUGUAGUUAUAGAUUUUUAUUAGUAAUGUACAUAACUUUAACUAGCAUAGUAAAUAGUAGGAUAGAUAAUAUGCUUUUUUAAUAAAAAUAAACAGAAUUAAUUUUGAUCUAUGGCCAAUUUAAUCUGAUUUUUCUUUAUUUUAUCUUGUCUCUAUUUAUUUAUGCAUCUACUAAUUGUAUGAAAUUAUCCCUGGUGAUCAAUGAUUGUAUUGGUUUUGCGUGGCCAUUGCUUCUCAACAAGCUGAUCCAGUUUCUUCAACAAGGUCUUGAUAACAAUUUUGAUUAUAGUUUGAUGGACUAUACUGACUUGAUAGAGAUUGUGGUAAGGUCAUUUUUGAGGAGAUAAUACAGGUUGAAUCUAAACUUAAACUCCCUAUUGGUUUAGCUGAGAUGCAAACUAGUGUAGAUAUUCUUUUGCAUGCUGAACCUGUAAUUGAUUUCUGUGAUAUUGUGUCUGGUCAUUCUGUGAUCCUGGAUAAAAUUUUUGUUGUGGACCAGAUUAAAACAAAUGAUAUUAGAUGCUCUAAUUCUGAUAUAUAUGUUCUUAAUGAUGUGCUGGAUGAUUCUGCUUUUACUUGUGAUAAUUCUGAAAUGUUUGAUGAUUCAUUUAUACAUUUUGAUAGUGCAGAACUAGCCGAUCCCAACCCUGAAUAGAGAGUUGCAGUUGCUGUAGCAAGGAGCUGGAGAGGAGCAAUUCAAUGUAAAUUUGGAACCCUUACACAGCGGAGCUGAGAAUGGAACAAAACCAAUAAGCCUUUUCUUUCACUUUCCCUUUAAUUAUAGUUAUAGAUUUUUUCUAUUAGCUUGCCUAGUCAUAGAUAGCAUAGUAAAUAAUAGGAUAGAACAUAUGUUGUUUUUUAUAAAAUUUAAGAAAAUCAAUUUUGAUUUGUGGCCGAUUUGAAUAAGUUUUUUUUUUCUUAUUAUAUUGCUUUGCAGUUUUAGUUUUCUUUUUCCAUUUAUGUUCUUGUAGAUGUUGCGUUCUAUUGCAUUUUCCUUCCUGUUCGUAUACAUUUUAAACUCUUGUGUUCAGUCUUCUUAGUUCUAUUCUGUUCUAUAUUUUAUUGAUUAGUUUUGUCCUCUUUUAGUUCUUCCUUUUAUAAAUACAUGUGUAAUCCUGGUUUGAUCAUAUCUGUUUUGUCUGUGCUGAUUAGGAAACCUUACUCACUCACACA
Molecule: RNA transcript, 6265 nt
Organism: Vigna radiata var. radiata (mung bean)
Lineage: Eukaryota; Viridiplantae; Streptophyta; Magnoliopsida; Fabales; Fabaceae
Exons: 7
Source: RefSeq, a predicted model, not a curated record